This is a long non-coding RNA of Homo sapiens (human), 456 nucleotides long. The record is from Ensembl. NCBI's taxonomy places the organism in Eukaryota, Metazoa, Chordata, Mammalia, Primates, Hominidae.
UUGUUUUCCUCAGUAAAUAUUAGCAAUAACUUAAAUGUUUAUAAGAUUCAUCUCAUGGAUUCUUGGGGAUAUGCAUGGAAUCAGGUACAGACAGUGCAAAGGUGGUGUGCCUAGUGAGCUUGGAUGUAUCAAACAGCUGUAAGAAAAUCUCUCCAACCUUCUCUGAAUAAAGGAGGAAUGUGGUGUUUAUUGAGGAACAGGCAACCCUUACAUUUGAAUAAAAGAUGCCAUAUACUGAAAGUGGACUCACAGAGGGCUGUGUUCCAGUGGACAUGUUAUUCAUUCCGUCUAAGCAGAAGGAUUCCAACCUCACUUACUAACUAGCUGAAGAAACGUUUCCCUAGAGAUUUCAUUCCAAAUGGUAGGUUCCUUAAGGCACACCUAAGCUAGCAGGCGAUCUUUUUCUCCAUGUCCAUCUCAUAUAUUCUAGGAAUUAAAGUUCAAAAUCUGUUUUUU